UUAGUCAAUGGCCUAACGGCUGAACUGGCAACUUGGAGAAGUGGCAAGUCUUCCAGUAUGGGGAGCAAAACAGCUAUGGGUCAAGUCCGAUAUCUUUAGGAGAAGUCUUAUUGUGAGGGCGAGUUAUAUAACACCGUAGGACUGGCCGUCCCAUAUGAAAAGAUUAUAUUAGAAUUGAAUGAAGCUUUGUUUAUAUAUUGAUAAUGACAGUAUAUAUAUCGUGUCUUGACUAAUUGCGUGCCAGCAGUCGCGGUAAUACGUAAGAGACUAGUGUUAUUCAUCUUAAUUAGGUUUAAAGGGUACCCAGACGGUCAAUAUAGCUUAUAAAAUGUUAGUACUUGACUAGAGUUUUAUGUAAGAGGGCAGUACUUGAGGAGGAGAGAUGAAAUUUCGUGAUACCAAAGGGACUCUGUAAAGGCGAAGGCAGCCCUCUAUGUAAAAACUGACGUUGAAGGACGAAGGCACAGAGAACAAACAGGAUUAGAUACCCAAGUAGUCUUUGCAGUAAAUGAUGAAUGCCAUAGGUUAGAUUGGUCAAUUAUAGUCUAGGGUUAGUCUAGCAAACUAAUACCUAUACUAUUAUACCUAAUAUCUGGUCUAUAAAUGAAAGUGUAAGCAUUUCACCUCAAGAGUAAUGUGGCAACGCAGGAACUGAAAUCACUAG
RNAcentral lists this ribosomal RNA (664 nucleotides) under Fusarium oxysporum. Its description in RNAcentral is "SSU rRNA". It matches the Rfam family "Bacterial small subunit ribosomal RNA", at positions 359 to 912 of the family's 1533-position model. Lineage: Eukaryota; Fungi; Ascomycota; Sordariomycetes; Hypocreales; Nectriaceae. The record is from RNAcentral.